UGGGGAAUAUUGGGGCAAUGGGGCGAAAGCCUGACCCAGCAACGCCGUGUGAGGGAAGAAGGUCCUCGGAUUGUAAACCUUUGUCUUAUGGGACGAUAAUGACGGUACCAUAGGAGGAAGUCACGACUAACUACGUGCCAGCAGUCGCGGUAAUACGUAGGUGACGAGCGUUAUCCGGAAUUAUUGGGUGUAAAGGGUGCGUAGGCGGGCUGUAAAGUCAGGCGUGAAAUGCAGGAGCUUAACUCCUGAACUGCGCUUGAAACUUACGGUCUUGGGUGAAGUAGAGGUAAGCGGAAUUCCUAGUGUAGCGGUGAAAUGCGUAGAUAUUAGGAGGAACACCAGUGGC
RNAcentral lists this ribosomal RNA (346 nucleotides) under uncultured bacterium. RNAcentral describes it as "bacterial SSU rRNA". It matches the Rfam family "Bacterial small subunit ribosomal RNA", at positions 355 to 716 of the family's 1533-position model. The record is from RNAcentral.